RNAcentral lists this ribosomal RNA (767 nucleotides) under uncultured bacterium. RNAcentral describes it as "partial 16S ribosomal RNA". It matches the Rfam family "Bacterial small subunit ribosomal RNA", at positions 626 to 1399 of the family's 1533-position model. The record is from RNAcentral.
UUUCAAACUGGAAUUUUUAAUGCCCGGGGAGGGGGAAGGGAAUCCUCGUUUAGCGGGUAAAGCGUUGGGAUUUGGAAAAACACCCAGGGGGGAGGGGUUUUUUUUGGAUUUUAACUAACGUGAGGUUGAAAGCGGGGGGGCAACCAGGUUUUAUUCCCCUGUUUUUCCCGCCGUAAACGAGAAUUAUAGGUGUUGGGGUUGUCAUGACCUUUGUCCCGCCGCUAACGCAUUAAUAUUUCGCCUGGGGGAGGACGGUCGCAGGAUUAAAAACUCAAAGGAAUUGACGGGGGCCCGCCCAAGCAGCGGAGCAUGUGGUUUAAUUUGAAGCAACGCGAAGAACCUUACCUAGACUUGACAUCUCCUGCAUUACUCUUAAUCGAGGAAGUCUCUUCGGAGACAGGAUGACAGGUGGUGCAUGGUUGUCGUCAGCUCGUGUCGUGAGAUGUUGGGUUAAGUCCCGCAACGAGCGCAACCCUUAUUGUUAGUUGCCAUCAUUAAGUUGGGCACUCUAGCGAGACUGCCCGGGUUAACCGGGAGGAAGGUGGGGAUGACGUCAAAUCAUCAUGCCCCUUAUGUCUAGGGCUACACACGUGCUACAAUGGUCGGUACAAUAAGACGCAAGCCCGCGAGGGGGAGCAAAACUGGAAAACCGAUCUCAGUUCGGAUUGUAGGCUGAAACUCGCCUACAUGAAGCUGGAGUUGCUAGUAAUCGCGAAUCAGCAUGUCGCGGUGAAUACGUUCCCGGGCCUUGCACACACCACCCGUCA